Streptococcus iniae is the source of this 111-nucleotide non-coding RNA. The record is from Rfam. Lineage: Bacteria; Bacillati; Bacillota; Bacilli; Lactobacillales; Streptococcaceae.
AAGCUCAAUAAUUGGGCUUUUUUUCUGUGCCUUUAACCUAGAUUUCUUGUUAAUUUAAAAAAAAUAAGCUAUAAUAAAGCAUAGUACUUAGUUUAGAAAGAAGGUGUAGGU